RNAcentral lists this ribosomal RNA (253 nucleotides) under uncultured bacterium. RNAcentral's name for it is "partial 16S ribosomal RNA". It matches the Rfam family "Bacterial small subunit ribosomal RNA", at positions 524 to 776 of the family's 1533-position model. The record is from RNAcentral.
UACGGAGGGGGCUAGCGUUGUUCGGAAUUACUGGGCGUAAAGCGCACGUAGGCGGCUUUGUAAGUUAGAGGUGAAAGCCCGGAGCUUAACUCCGGAACUGCAUUCGAUACUGCCGUGCUUGAGGACUGGAGAGGAGACUGGAAUUUACGGUGUAGCGGUGAAAUGCGUAGAUAUCGUAAGGAAGACCAGUGGCGAAGGCGGGUCUCUGGACAGUUCCUGACGCUGAGGCACGAAGGCCAGGGGAGCAAACGGG